This is an RNA transcript of Mytilus californianus (California mussel), 3278 nucleotides long. RefSeq lists it as uncharacterized. The transcript is spliced from 4 exons. NCBI's taxonomy places the organism in Eukaryota, Metazoa, Mollusca, Bivalvia, Mytilida, Mytilidae. The record is from RefSeq and is a predicted model, not a curated record.
UUAUGGUAUAUAUAAUAUCAGUUUGCAGGUAUAUGUAUCAAUGAAAUCAUUACCACAUGAUAUUUCAAAACCCGGAUAUAAUUGGUUUAGGAUUGUUGAUAAUAAUGUUCGAUACUGACUAGACUUAGUAAAGUUUGUUAUUAUGGAUUAUAGUCAAUUAUUUCAUAUUUUAGUUUGGACUGUGGUACAUGUUUUACAAUUUAAUUCAGCUGAAUACUGUUACUUUGACUACGAUAAGUCAGCAAAUCACUGUUACCUUGACCACGGUACGUCAGGAAAAAACUCUUACAUAUACGUGGACCAUGAUACGGCACUAAAACACUGUUACAUUGACCGCGAUACGCAUGUACUUGUAUACUGUUACUUUGAUCAUGAUGACCACAAGGAUGAUGACGGAUUGUCAGAAGGGGCUAUACAUGGAAUGAUUAUAACUUGUGCCAUUUUAGCCGUAGUAGCAAUAUCUAUCUUUUGUGUACGUGCCUGUAUGACACAUAGUGGCAGUCAAGGGGAUACAACCGAGGACAGUUGUUAUGGACAACAACAAUCUACAUCACACAAAAUUGUUAUGGCACUCAGCAAUAUCCACAAGAAGUUCAUGCGUAUCCACCACUUGACUACAUGGCACUUCCGCCACAACCACCAGUUCAAUAUAUAGCAUAUCUACCAACUAUAAAUACACAAGCUAACUCACUAAUACAUUUAUGAUAGGGUCCAGAUCAUGUAUAUAUCCUUUUAAAUUUACUGAUGGUGACAAAACAAGCUUAUAUUACUUUAUUUUGAUUUUUAUAUAUACAUUGAUCAUGAAGUACAUAUAACAUUCCACUGAGAAAACCUGCCUUUUUAGAUUUUACUAAAUUCUUACAUCUUAACUUAUUAUUUUAAUACAUAGAUCUUACUAAAUAAAACCUCCUUUUAUUGUAUCUUUUAUGCAUAUUAAAAAGCAAAUUCAAAUGAAACAUAUUUUUAAUUAUAAAUAAAACUGAGAUACAUACAUACAUGUAAGUGAAUCUACUUGUAUGUAGACUAAUUUAUAACAAAAAGGUCCAUGUAAAUAUGCCUUGCAUGACACUCUUAUUGUUUAUUUAUAUGUGCUGUACAUAUGUUGGAAAAAGAUCAUUUUUGUUUUAUCCUUUUAAAUUUUAAAGUUAAGGCAAAACUCCAUAUAUAUUUGGAGGUGCUCCUAAUUAAAGGAGGCUGAUACUAAGAAGAAGAAGCUAAUCAUAACAAUCCAAUAACGGUACCAUUGAGUAGUCAUAUCAUACAAUCAACACAGCCAGAUGAACAAUCACCAUCUUAUUCUGAUGCUUUACAGAUGGAUAGAGAACGAAAGUCAUGAUAUCAUCAGACUCGUAUUUUAUAUACAUGUUCGUCUUACGAUAGUAAUGGUUGACUAGACUUGGUAGACUCCCGUGUAGAAAAUCUGCUCUUUAAACAUCAUGUUAAAGUGGAUAACAAUGUUUUCGAAUGUGUGCACUCCCGUGCUGGAAAUCUGUUUUUUACAGUGCGAUAGUUAAGAUUUUGUACACUUCCAUACUUCUGGUGUUUGGUAAAACUAACUGUAACAAUGGUCAUGCUUUUAUUAACAUCCUUUGACUUUCUAUUUUUUUAGUAAUAAGUUUUUAAAUUAUAUCAAUUAAAAUUAUUUUUUCCAAUUUUCAAGAAAAUAAUAUCAUGUAUCAUACAUAUGUUACAUAUUAUGCACAAACAAAUAUACUCUUUCAUCUUCGUUCUAUAAAUACAUUGUGAGGUUUUGCGUUCCAAAAAAUUGUUGUCAGACAUACAAACAAAUUUGAGGACAACGACCGAAUAGUAAGAUAAUCUGUAACGGAAUUAAAAAUCUGGAUGAACUUACACAAAACAAUAGGAUUUAUACUGGGACAUGUAAUACGGGGUUUUGAAACGAUAUUUUCAAGCUAAUUGACCCAUUUUAUACUUUUUAUACGCCCGUUUACCCGACGUAUUAUGGUAUACCGUUGUCCGUCUGUCCGUCCGUCGUCAACAUGUCGGACAUUAACUCAAAAACGCUUUAACCAAUUUGCAUAAAACUUUGGUGAAUUGUUUAUAUUGACGUAAGCUCCCUUUCGUUUUUUAUAAAUUUUAGAUUUUACGUUUCCGAGUUAUGGGGUUUUAUUCAUUAAAAAAGGGGGGAUUUUCCAAUUUUCGGACAAUAACUCAAGAAUGCUUUCAUCAACUUGCAAGAAAUUGUGGAAAAUUGGUUAUAUCUAUUGACAUGAGCUCGCUUUUGAUUUUUAUAAAUUUUAGAUUUUACGUUUCCGAGUUACAGGGUUUUAUUCAUAAAAAAAGGGGGAUUUUCCAGUUUUCGGGCAAAAACUCAUAAAUGCUUUCAGCAUGCAGUUCUUAUGAAACUUUGGUGAAUUGUUUAUAUCUAUUGAUGUAAGCUCCCUUUAUAAUUUUAUAAAUUUUACAUGUUACAUUUCUGAGUUAUGGGGUUUUAUUCAUUAAAAAAGGGGGGAUUUUCCAGUUUUCGGACAAUAACUCAAACAUGCUGUCAGCAAUACUCAUGAAACUUUGGUGAAUUGUUUAUAUCUAUUGUUGUAAGAUCCCUUUUGAUUUUCAUAAAUUUCUAAUAUGACAUUGAGAAUUAAUUGAACUUUAUUGAUCUUUACUCUUUGAAAAUGUGACGGGCGUAUCAUGCGCUCAUGGCGCAGCUGUUUAUUAUAAUUUCGUUUAAGAAGUAACUUAAAAUCUAAUAUUCGCUGGUGUGCAAUUAAACGACUUGUUAAUAUGUGUCUGUUGUUUAUUAUGGUAUACGUAUAUGCAUAAUUUGGGUUAAAUCAUAACAUUUAAGGAUUGUUCAUAAUUUUUUUUCUUCAGAUAUUUGUUCGGAAACUUUGUGACUAUGGUCAAUAAUGGAACUUUUGAAAACCUCACUAGCGUAUUUCAUCUGCAAGUACAAAUAUUAUAGAAAAAUGAGCAUUGAUUGAUAAUUUAUAUAGUUAAGAAAUAAUUCAUGGCAGCUGUAGAUUUGUUUUCAUUUAACCAUGGGCUGGGCAUUUAUAUUCUAUUAUUUUAUCACGAGCGAUAGCGAGGGGUGAAAUAUGAAUAUAAAUGACCAACCCAUGGUUAAAUGAAAACAAAUCUUCGGCUGCCAUGAAUUAUUUCGAUUCUAAUAGGGCAAAUUCUGUAAUUUUGUCAACCGUGAAAACCCUAUACACACGAUGCUGUUUUGGCUGUUCCGUUUUAGCCCAUAUAUAAUAAUAUUAAUGAUGUAAUAUUAUUCAAUAAUAAAUGAAAAAAACUCACAUUCUUCACCUAAA